This 484-nucleotide ribosomal RNA is filed under the name uncultured bacterium. RNAcentral's name for it is "partial 16S ribosomal RNA". It matches the Rfam family "Bacterial small subunit ribosomal RNA", at positions 28 to 523 of the family's 1533-position model. The record is from RNAcentral.
GACGAACGCUGGCGGCGUGCUUAACACAUGCAAGUCGAACGAUGAAGCUAGAGCUUGCUCUGGUGAAUUAGUGGCGAACGGGUGAGUAACACGUGAGUAACCUGCCCUUGACUCUGGGAUAACUGCGGGAAACUGUAGCUAAUACCGGAUACGACCCUCGGCGGAAUCGCCAGGGGGUGGAAAGAAUUUCGGUCAAGGAUGGACUUGCGGCCUAUCAGCUAGUUGGGGAGGUAACGGCUCACCAAGGCGACGACGGGUAGCCGGCCUGAGAGGGUGACCGGCCACACUGGGACUGAGACACGGCCCAGACUCCUACGGGAGGCAGCAGUGGGGAAUAUUGCACAAUGGGCGCAAGCCUGAUGCAACAACGCCGCGUGAGGGAUGACGGCCUUCGGGUUGUAAACCUCUUUUAGUAGGGAAGAAGCGAAAGUGACGGUACCUGCAGAAAAAGCACCGGCUAACUACGUGCCAGCCGCCGCGGUAA